Molecule: small nuclear RNA, 141 nt
Organism: Neogale vison (American mink)
Lineage: Eukaryota; Metazoa; Chordata; Mammalia; Carnivora; Mustelidae
Product: U4 spliceosomal RNA
Exons: 1
Source: RefSeq, a predicted model, not a curated record
AGCUUUGCGCAGUGGCAGUAUCGUAGCCAAUGAGGUUUAUCCGAGGCGCGAUUAUUGCUAAUUAUUGCUAAUUGAAUGUAUAGUGGAUGUAAUAGUGGAUGUAUGUUUUUCAUUAUCAUAUUCUUUAACAGUUUGGAAAUU